GCCGGAGUGGCGGAACAGGCAGACGCGGCGGUCUUAAACACCGCUGAUCGCGAGAUCGUCCGGGUUCGAACCCCGGCUCCGGCACCA
Molecule: transfer RNA, 87 nt
Filed under: Chloroflexota bacterium
Lineage: Bacteria; Bacillati; Chloroflexota
Description: tRNA-Leu
Rfam family: tRNA
About the family: Transfer RNA (tRNA) molecules are approximately 80 nucleotides in length. Their secondary structure includes four short double-helical elements and three loops (D, anti-codon, and T loops). Further hydrogen bonds mediate the characteristic L-shaped molecular structure. tRNAs have two regions of fundamental functional importance: the anti-codon, which is responsible for specific mRNA codon recognition, and the 3' end, to which the tRNAs corresponding amino acid is attached (by aminoacyl-tRNA synthetases). tRNAs cope with the degeneracy of the genetic code in two manners: having more than one tRNA (with a specific anti-codon) for a particular amino acid; and 'wobble' base-pairing, i.e. permitting non-standard base-pairing at the 3rd anti-codon position.
Source: RNAcentral